GAUAGAGGGUUAAUUAGGGAAGGUUAUCAUAUGAUCAAAUUCUUUUGGUGUCUUGAAUGAAAUUGUGUGAGUUCUUGAUCAUGUUAGUUGAUCUUGGAUUCCGCAUUAAUAAUGGCUUAACUUAAGUUAAAAAACUUGAAAGUUGAUGGACUUGGAUCUAUAUUGGGUUUCAAUUAUCAUAUAAUGAUUAUAAAUCGAGUUUAGGUUUUAGAAAGCUACCUACUAUGAGUACAACUUAUUGUUAUCCAUUCUAAAGUUUAUUUUGCCUUCAUGUGACUUUUUUUGCUCAAUGUCAAAGUCCAUUUCUUCUUGCACAUUUAGGUUAUUCAUUCUAUUUUUUAUAUCUAUUUGAUGCUUUUUAACUAGAGGAUACAAAAACUUACAACUUCUCUAACUAGCUUUGCAUGACAUCUAUUUGUUUGUCUCUUUCAUGGAGCUCCCUUGUUAUUAUUUCUUACUCUUUACAAGAGAUCACAUCU
RNAcentral lists this long non-coding RNA (479 nucleotides) under Carica papaya (papaya). Its description in RNAcentral is "long non-coding RNA (CPAP_LNC008087)". The record is from RNAcentral. Lineage: Eukaryota; Viridiplantae; Streptophyta; Magnoliopsida; Brassicales; Caricaceae.